UGUCCGCCUUGAGAUCGACACUUAUAAAGCGGAGUGCGAUUAUCGCUGAUGCUAUUAAUGCAAUAAAUCGAUCAAUCAACUUCUGAUCAAUGCAAGGACGUAUCCACCAACAACAUGUGAUAAUCGAAUCACUUGAAAACCGCGGUUGAUUAUGGGAGGAUAGCAUCAAUGCUAAUGGGUCCGUUUUCGCUGGUGAUUAUUAUCUCAAUUGCCUGUUCCUCAUAAAACUUUCAAUAUAAUGCUGAGAUUGUCAAUCCACACGCUUUGAAGAUUAUUUUAAUUGGCCAAUAUGAAUUUUAACGAGCAUAAUUUAAUUGCAAUAAAUGUUUGUUCUCACAAACGCGCUUUUCUAUUUAAGUUAAUGUUGUUAAAUAUGAAUAAAAGCUACGUGAUGAGUGACACGUGAUUUUCGUUA
Hermetia illucens (black soldier fly) is the source of this 415-nucleotide long non-coding RNA. RefSeq lists it as uncharacterized. The transcript is spliced from 2 exons. NCBI's taxonomy places the organism in Eukaryota, Metazoa, Arthropoda, Insecta, Diptera, Stratiomyidae. The record is from RefSeq and is a predicted model, not a curated record.